Polyodon spathula (Mississippi paddlefish) is the source of this 501-nucleotide long non-coding RNA. RefSeq lists it as uncharacterized. The record is from RefSeq and is a predicted model, not a curated record. The transcript has 3 exons. Lineage: Eukaryota; Metazoa; Chordata; Actinopteri; Acipenseriformes; Polyodontidae.
CCGCACUCAUUUCCGCGUGGAAGGAGAGAUGCAGUCCAUUAUCAGAAAAAAACAAACAAACAAGAAAACAUAGUCGUAUGUUGUGAAUGUAAGCAGUUUACAUCAAAACUGCAUUGCUGUUAAUUGCGUUUGAAUAGGAGAGGAUCCAUUGAGAUGUGCUAUCUCGUUCAAAACAAGGAACUAAUGCAUCCUGGCUCCUGGGAUUCAGCUUCACUAGCCUUGUGGUCGCUCUCUCAGUGCGCAACAUAAGAUCCCAAACACUGGACUUUGAUGAAGCUGCUGGCUCAGCAGAAAUGAACUGUUCAUGAAAUCCAGGCUGAGACAGAGCCCAAGUCCUGCUAGCGACAGUAUGAGGCGGGUCAUGUUCGGAAUCCACAACAACGCCCUGGCCUAUGCCAUGACCACACUGGGCGCUGGGAUGAUGAACAGCAUUUUCAGCUUCUACUAUGUCAAGCUGUUUUUGAACAAGUACAAAAUCUCAGAGGGAGCUUUCCACCAAUC